RNAcentral lists this long non-coding RNA (210 nucleotides) under Nicotiana benthamiana. RNAcentral describes it as "long non-coding RNA (NBEN_LNC015947)". The record is from RNAcentral. Lineage: Eukaryota; Viridiplantae; Streptophyta; Magnoliopsida; Solanales; Solanaceae.
GCAGCCACACCAAAUAUAGGAGGGAUUGGAAAAAAAUAUUUUUUAAACUUCUUUUUCAUUUCAGUAAUUGCAAUUUCAUAAAUUUCCCCUCCCUCGUAUCAUCUAAAUCUACCGGAGCUUGGGUUUCGUCAUCAUCAUCAACCUCAUAUCCCUCUAAGAUAGGUGCAUUAGGAUAAAGAAUAUUCAUAAUAUCAUCGUCUAUUCUAUCAC